UCUCUCUCUCUCUCUCAUCUUCACAUUCUUUCCCCUCAAUCUCAUCCGCUCCUCCUCUCACUCUCAUCUGCUCCUCCUCUCACUCUCACAUUCUCUUCUCCUCUCACUACUGCGAUCAAUUUCUUUUUUCUUUUUAUUUUUUUCCUUCUUUUUUUUUCUCUGUUCUCAUCUCAUGUCGACAUGUUGCUCGACCUAUUCCACGUUCCAGCAAUUUUUUUUAAUUUAUUAAAAAUUUAAUGUGAUGUGAUUUUAUUAUUAAAUGGGUAUCAUGUGAUAUGCUAAUUAAAUAGGUAUUGUGAUUGUGAUUAUGUGAUAUAUUUUUAUUAAAUAAGUAUUAAUGCUCCUGAUGUGUAAAUUGUAAUUUCUUAUUAUGCAAAUUAUUGAAAAAAUCAAAUGUUUAAUACUUUAAUUUCUUGGUUGCUUGAAUUGAUAGUUGUUGCUUUAAUUUCUUAUUUUCUUAUAUUUGUUGCUUUUGUUGCUACUAUUGAAUUGAGAUAACACAACCUUUAUAGUGUUUUUUUGUGCUUUUUAAUUAUGUUACUUUUUAUUUUCUUUUAUUUUUUUGUUAGAUAAUAGAUGGGUGAUAAAUGUAAUGCAACUGGAUCUACUAGCAGCAAAAGAAUGGACCCAGGAUGGGCACAUGCGAUUCAAGUUAAUGAAAAUAAUACAAAUAAUCUUCAAUGCAUUUACUGUAUGAAUGUUUAUAAAAGGGGAGUUAAUAGAAUCAAGCAAC
Molecule: unclassified non-coding RNA, 733 nt
Filed under: Hevea brasiliensis (rubber tree)
Lineage: Eukaryota; Viridiplantae; Streptophyta; Magnoliopsida; Malpighiales; Euphorbiaceae
Source: RNAcentral